CGGGGUCGGCGUACAGGUGCUGCAUGGUUGUCGUCAGCUCGUGCCGUGAGGUGUCGGGUUAAGUCCCAUAACGAGCGCAACCCCUAUCAUUAGUUGCCAUCAGGUCAAGCUGGGGACUCUAAUGAAACUGCCUACGCAAGUAGUGAGGAAGGUGGGGAUGACGUCAAAUCAGCACGGCCCUUACGUCCAGGGCUACACACGUGCUACAAUGGCCGGUACAAAGGGCAGCUACCUGGUGACAGGAUGCUAAUCUCAAAAGCCGGUCUCAGUUCGGAUUGAAGUCUGCAACUCGACUUCAUGAAGCUGGAAUCGCUAGUAAUCGCAGAUCAGCCAAGCUGCGGUGAAUACGUUCCCGGGCCUU
RNAcentral lists this ribosomal RNA (361 nucleotides) under uncultured Sphingobacteriales bacterium. RNAcentral describes it as "bacterial SSU rRNA". It matches the Rfam family "Bacterial small subunit ribosomal RNA", at positions 1022 to 1382 of the family's 1533-position model. The record is from RNAcentral. Lineage: Bacteria; Pseudomonadati; Bacteroidota; Sphingobacteriia; Sphingobacteriales.